Molecule: ribosomal RNA, 160 nt
Filed under: uncultured Zoogloea sp.
Lineage: Bacteria; Pseudomonadati; Pseudomonadota; Betaproteobacteria; Rhodocyclales; Zoogloeaceae
Description: partial 16S ribosomal RNA
Rfam family: Bacterial small subunit ribosomal RNA
Source: RNAcentral
UGGGGAAUUUUGGACAAUGGGCGAAAGCCUGAUCCAGCCAUGCCGCGUGAGUGAAGAAGGCCUUCGGGUUGUAAAGCUCUUUCAGACGGAAAGAAAUCGCAUCUUCUAAUACAGGGUGUGGAUGACGGUACCGUAAGAAGAAGCACCGGCUAACUACGUG